GCGCUUGGUUCAGCAGCGGAUAUACUAAAAUUGGAACGACACAGAGAAGAUUAGUGUGACCCCUGCAUAAGGAUGACGCACUAAUUUGUGAAGCGUGCCAUAAAAUA
This 107-nucleotide small nuclear RNA is filed under the name Salvator merianae (Argentine black and white tegu). The record is from RNAcentral. Lineage: Eukaryota; Metazoa; Chordata; Lepidosauria; Squamata; Teiidae.